Non-coding RNA from Pelobates cultripes (western spadefoot toad), 376 nucleotides. The record is from the annotation of a GenBank genome assembly. NCBI's taxonomy places the organism in Eukaryota, Metazoa, Chordata, Amphibia, Anura, Pelobatidae.
GGGACAGAGUGCUGCUCAUAUAUUGUCAAUAACUCUGACGCAAUAACACAUGAUAUUUCAAAGAUAAACGAUACCAGGAAGAAGCUCCAGAAUCCACCGGAUAGUGGACCUUUUGGGUGGUUGGGUAAUUUAGGGUUUAAAGUAAUGCAAUGGGUAGUAGUGGGUGUUGUUUUAUGUAUAAUAUUGUAUUUUUUUGUAAAUUGUAUUAUAUGUGUGGGAAAGCAAGCUAUGAAGAAAGUAAGACCUAUCCGAGAAAUAUAUGAGUUAUAGUUAUAACUCAUGUAAUGGGAUCAACAGGUGGAUUGUAUUGGUUAUGGGCAAUGAUAAAUGUUCUAUUAUUGUGUUCCCAUUCAUGUGCAAUAACUUAUGAUACCUA